AAAAAAGUAGUAGAUUGAUUAAGAUAAUAUUAGGGAUAAUGUUCCACAUCGGAAGUUAAGUAGGAUCUUAAGUGGUAUAUAUAAGAUAUGGGCCUCUCCACCUAUUGCCAAUUAGUUUUAGGUUGGAAGCCCACACUCUAAUAUGGUAUCAUAGCCCGAUCCGUACAUACUCAACCCGAUCCACAUCGAUCCGGCCCAAUACUUGGCUCGCCGAUCCAUGCCCAAACAUAUCGAGAUCAAUGGCUAGAAGAGCCAUCAUCUCGAGGGGGCGUAUUAGGAACAAUAUUCCACAUCGAAAGUUGAAUAGAAUCUUAAGUGGUAUAUAUAAGAUAUGGGCCUCUCCACCUAUUGCCAAUUGGUUUUAGGUUGGAAGCCCACACUCUAAUAGAUAGAAGCUUCGAUAAAAGAAAAAAACAAUCAAGCUAUUUAUAGGUUU
RNAcentral lists this small RNA (436 nucleotides) under Arabidopsis thaliana (thale cress). RNAcentral describes it as "ATSL078230". Lineage: Eukaryota; Viridiplantae; Streptophyta; Magnoliopsida; Brassicales; Brassicaceae. The record is from RNAcentral.